Molecule: ribosomal RNA, 427 nt
Filed under: uncultured bacterium
Lineage: Bacteria
Description: partial 16S ribosomal RNA
Rfam family: Bacterial small subunit ribosomal RNA
Source: RNAcentral
UGGGGAAUAUUGGACAAUGGGCGCAAGCCUGAUCCAGCAAUGCCGCGUGUGUGAAGAAGGCCUUCGGGUUGUAAAGCACUUUUAUCAGGAGCGAAAUACUAUCGGUUAAUAACCGGUGGGGCUGACGGUACCUGAGGAAUAAGCACCGGCUAACUUCGUGCCAGCAGCCGCGGUAAUACGAAGGGUGCAAGCGUUAAUCGGAAUUACUGGGCGUAAAGGGUGCGUAGGCGGUUAGUUAAGUCUGUUGUGAAAUCCCCGGGCUCAACCUGGGAAUGGCAAUGGAUACUGGCUAGCUAGAGUGUGUCAGAGGAUGGUGGAAUUCCCGGUGUAGCGGUGAAAUGCGUAGAGAUCGGGAGGAACAUCAGUGGCGAAGGCGGCCAUCUGGGACAACACUGACGCUGAAGCACGAAAGCGUGGGGAGCAAACA